CUUGGAAAGCUUCUGGAUUUGGUGAUUGGUUUUGCAGUAUACUAAAACAUGGAAGCAUUUAAUAGUGAAGAACUUUUAAAGCUUUUCACACAAUAUGCUCUGAAAGAGGGUAGUUCUAAUCUGCUUUCCAUGUCUGGACUUCAAAGUUUGCUGCAAAAUCACUUCCCAAAACUUUUGGGUUCCCUGAGUCUUAAUGACAUUGCCAAAUAUGCUGAUGUUGAUAAAGAUGGAAAAGCCAACUUUAACGAUGUCAAAGCACUGUUGACCAAGCUAAGUAGUAUGGCUGGAUUAUCUAACAUAGCUGGGCUAUCUGGUUUGGUCUCUUAAAGAAUCCUGUAAAGAGGGUGAUGGAGGCAGAGUAAACUUAAGAUCUCAGAACUAAUCUAUAAUGGACAUAUAAAAUGUUUACAUUUGUACAAAGAAUCUUUGUAAAAGCAAACUGAAAUACUGAAUAAAGACUGAUAUUUAUUUAAAACCA
Molecule: long non-coding RNA, 478 nt
Organism: Candoia aspera
Lineage: Eukaryota; Metazoa; Chordata; Lepidosauria; Squamata; Candoiidae
Exons: 3
Source: RefSeq, a predicted model, not a curated record